CCUAAAAGCACCUUCUCCAUUAGACGAAAUAGACUUAUUUCGUCUAUAUGGAGAAAGGCGCUUUUAGG
Molecule: microRNA precursor, 68 nt
Filed under: Nematostella vectensis (starlet sea anemone)
Lineage: Eukaryota; Metazoa; Cnidaria; Anthozoa; Actiniaria; Edwardsiidae
Description: microRNA nve-mir-9429 precursor
Source: miRBase by way of RNAcentral